RNAcentral lists this ribosomal RNA (424 nucleotides) under uncultured bacterium. Its description in RNAcentral is "bacterial SSU rRNA". It matches the Rfam family "Bacterial small subunit ribosomal RNA", at positions 28 to 452 of the family's 1533-position model. The record is from RNAcentral.
GAUGAACGCUAGCGGCAGGCUUAACACAUGCAAGUCGAGGGGUAGAAGGAGCUUGCUCCUUUGAGACCGGCGCACGGGUGCGUAACGCGUAUGCAAUCUACCUUUUGCAGAGGAUAGCCCAGAGAAAUUUGGAUUAAUACCUCAUAGUAUGUGAGGAUGGCAUCAUUUUCACAUUAAAGUCACAACGGCAAAAGAUGAGCAUGCGUCCCAUUAGCUAGUUGGUAAGGUAAACGGCUUACCAAGGCUACGAUGGGUAGGGUCCUGAGAGGGAGAUCCCCCACACUGGUACUGAGACACGGACCAGACUCCUACGGGAGGCAGCAGUGAGGAAUAUUGGACAAUGGCGCAAGCCUGUAUCCAGCCAUGCCGCGUGCAGGAUGACGGUCCUAUGGAUUGUAAACUUGCUUUUGUACAGGAAGGAAAC